Molecule: long non-coding RNA, 1069 nt
Organism: Rosa rugosa (rugosa rose)
Lineage: Eukaryota; Viridiplantae; Streptophyta; Magnoliopsida; Rosales; Rosaceae
Exons: 4
Source: RefSeq, a predicted model, not a curated record
UUUCUGGAAACCGAACUCUCUCUCUCUUGCGCGCGUCCGAGCCCAGAAAAAAAAACAGAGCAAAGCUCUCCGGCCGAGUUCUCCCUCCUCCGGCCACCAAUCGACACCAGACCACCUCCCUUGCCUUCGCCUCGACGCCGCCUACCUGCUAGACGUGAUCACUUCCACCGGAACGGCCUCAAAUCCGGCAGUCGGAGCCGCAAACUUUGAAACAAAAAUCGGUCAACGCCGGUUUUCUCCUAGCUCCGGCCACCAAAACUCACGAUCCUUAGCUCCCUGAACUCGCCUCAACCUUCUGAUCAUCAUUCUAGAAGGAUCGCACCUGGAGUGAUCGGAUUCACGUUCGUCGGAGCUCGCCGGAUUCUGGAAAUUUUCCACCACCACCGAAGCUUUUGAUAGAAGGAAUCGAAGCCUGAAAUUGAAGUUUUGACGUCGAAAUCAAGCCUUGCCGGAUUUUGCAAAAUUCUGGAAUUUUUCCGACCACCGAAGCUUUCGAUCGGUAUAUCUCGAGCUACAGACCAUAUUUUUCUGUGAUUCUUGAACCAGUGAGUUCUUCUUGAGUUUCUUAACAACUCUUCAGAAGGAAUCGAAGCCUUAAAUUGACGUUUUUACGUCGAAUUGGAGCUCGCCGUUUUCUGCAGUUUCUCGCCGGUUUCUGGAAAAUUCUGGCCACCUUCAUACUGUUCAAGGUGAUCGACGGUUUGAUUUGGCGGACGAUUCGUGAAAUUGUAUUUUGAGCUGUUAAGAAGACGCAGCGGGAAUUUAGAGCGGGUAAUCCUACAGGUCAGGAGAACCAGGACGGUGAUCGGGCUGCUUAGAGUAGUGUUAUGUGAAUUACAGCAUUAUAUUGUGAGGUUUGUUAUGCUCAUUUAGAGCUUUACGAUUUUACUUUGUAAGAGUGAAUUGUAAUAAUUAACUCGAGGUUUUCGAGUUUUGUGUUGAGUGGCGAGUGGUGUGUUUGUUUCUGAGAAAAAAAAAAUUCAGAACGUUAUUUGUAUUAAUUGUUUAUUCAUGUUUCGGAUUUGAAUUUAUUAUUCAAAAUUCGGGGCGUGACAACAUUAAUUUCUCU